Molecule: small nuclear RNA, 107 nt
Filed under: Ictidomys tridecemlineatus (thirteen-lined ground squirrel)
Lineage: Eukaryota; Metazoa; Chordata; Mammalia; Rodentia; Sciuridae
Also listed under: 1 other name
Source: RNAcentral
GAGCUCAUUUCAGUAGCACAUAUACUAAAAUUGGACUAAUACAAAGAAGAUUUGCACGGCCUCUUAACAAGGAUGACACACAAAUUCGUGUGGAAUUCCAUACUUUU